AUGCACGCUGGCGGCGUGCCUAAUACAUGCAAGUCGAGCGAACAGAUGAGGAGCUUGCUCCUCUGACGUUAGCGGCGGACGGGUGAGUAACACGUGGAUAACCUACCUAUAAGACUGGGAUAACUUCGGGAAACCGGAGCUAAUACCGGAUAAUAUAUUGAACCGCAUGGUUCAAUAGUGAAAGACGGUUUUGCUGUCACUUAUAGAUGGAUCCGCGCCGCAUUAGCUAGUUGGUAAGGUAACGGCUUACCAAGGCAACGAUGCGUAGCCGACCUGAGAGGGUGAUCGGCCACACUGGAACUGAGACACGGUCCAGACUCCUACGGGAGGCAGCAGUAGGGAAUCUUCCGCAAUGGGCGAAAGCUUGACGGAGCAACGCCGCGUGAGUGAUGAAGGUCUUCGGAUCGUAAAACUCUGUUAUUAGGGAAGACCAAAUGUGUAAGUAACUAUGCACGUCUUGACGGUACCUAAUCAGAAAGCCACGGCUAACUACGUG
RNAcentral lists this ribosomal RNA (496 nucleotides) under uncultured bacterium. RNAcentral's name for it is "partial 16S ribosomal RNA". It matches the Rfam family "Bacterial small subunit ribosomal RNA", at positions 29 to 507 of the family's 1533-position model. The record is from RNAcentral.